This 482-nucleotide ribosomal RNA is filed under the name Kinetoplastida sp. LDR2000. RNAcentral's name for it is "partial 24S ribosomal RNA". Lineage: Eukaryota; Euglenozoa; Kinetoplastea. The record is from RNAcentral.
UUUCGGGUCCAAACAGGCACACUCGAACUCAACCCACGGAGGGCCGGUCGGUGUUGGGCAAUCAAAAAAUGUUUGUGCACACCACGGGUGCGUUCGCACCUCCCUUUCAGUACGAGAGAAGUACUGGCAACAAUAUCUUCUCCCUUGCGCGUCUGUUUGACUCCUUGGUCCGUGUUUCAAGACGGGUGGAGGCACCCCAUUUCCGACGCCAACAUUGAGCAUCACGGAGAAGACACACGGCUCGCCCUUUGGGGGGUGCCGCGCGCUUUGUCUCCGCCCAUUUCACCAGUACCCUCAGUCUUGCACUUAGUUGCUCCGCGGAUUUUGAUCCCCACGAAGAUAAUGCUGCGAGGUUGGUUUUGGCCGAUUGAAAUGGAGGUACUUCCAUUGUCAUUGUCACGACUUCAGGUUCUAUGUCACUCUCUUUCCAAAGUGCUUUUCAAACUUUCGCUCACGCUACUUGUUCGCUAUCGGUCUUCCUA